This 254-nucleotide ribosomal RNA is filed under the name uncultured bacterium. Its description in RNAcentral is "partial 16S ribosomal RNA". It matches the Rfam family "Bacterial small subunit ribosomal RNA", at positions 524 to 776 of the family's 1533-position model. The record is from RNAcentral.
UACGAAGGGGGCUAGCGUUGCUCGGAAUCACUGGGCGUAAAGCGCACGUAGGCGGAUUGCUAAGUCAGGGGUGAAAUCCUGGAGCUCAACUCCAGAACUGCCCUUGAUACUGGCGGUCUCGAGUCCGGGAGAGGUGAGUGGAACUGCGAGUGUAGAGGUGAAAUUCGUAGAUAUUCGCAAGAACACCAGUGGCGAAGGCGGCUCACUGGCCCGGUACUGACGCUGAGGUGCGGAAAGCGUGGGGAGCAAACAGG